CCUACGGGGGGCUGCAGUGGGGAAUAUUGGACAAUGGGGGCAACCCUGAUCCAGCCAUGCCGCGUGUGUGAAGAAGGCCCUCGGGUUGUAAAGCACUUUCAGUGAGGAAGAACGCCUGGUGGUUAAUACCCAUCAGGAAAGACAUCACUCACAGAAGAAGCACCGGCUAACUCCGUGCCAGCAGCCGCGGUAAUACGGAGGGUGCGAGCGUUAAUCGGAAUUACUGGGCGUAAAGCGCGCGUAGGUGGCUUGAUAAGCCGGUUGUGAAAGCCCCGGGCUCAACCUGGGAACGGCAUCCGGAACUGUCAAGCUAGAGUGCAGGAGAGGAAGGUAGAAUUCCCGGUGUAGCGGUGAAAGGCGUAGAGAUCGGGAGGAAUACCAGUGGCGAAGGCGGCCUUCUGGACUGACACUGACACUGAGGUGCGAAAGCGUGGGUAGCAAACAGGAUUAGAUACCCGAGUAGUC
RNAcentral lists this ribosomal RNA (465 nucleotides) under Vreelandella stevensii. Its description in RNAcentral is "partial 16S ribosomal RNA". It matches the Rfam family "Bacterial small subunit ribosomal RNA", at positions 338 to 795 of the family's 1533-position model. The record is from RNAcentral. Lineage: Bacteria; Pseudomonadati; Pseudomonadota; Gammaproteobacteria; Oceanospirillales; Halomonadaceae.